RNAcentral lists this ribosomal RNA (250 nucleotides) under uncultured bacterium. RNAcentral's name for it is "partial 16S ribosomal RNA". It matches the Rfam family "Bacterial small subunit ribosomal RNA", at positions 355 to 622 of the family's 1533-position model. The record is from RNAcentral.
UCGAGAAUCUUCCCCAAUGGACGAAAGUCUGAGGGAGCGACGCCGCGUGCAGGAAGAAGCCCUUCGGGGUGUAAACUGCUUUUCUUGAAGACUAACUCUGAAUGUACUCAAGGAAUAGGGGCUGCUAACUUCGUGCCAGCAGCAGCGGUAAUACGAAGGCCCCGAGCGUUAUCCGGAUUUAUUGGGCGUAAAGCGUUCAACGGUGGUUUGGUAAGUACCCGGUCAAAUCUCACGGCUCAACCGUGAGGCU